GAUGAACGCUGGCGGCGUGCCUAAUACAUGCAAGUCGAGCGAACAGACGAGGGGCUUGCUCCUCUGACGUUAGCGGCGGACGGGUGAGUAACACGUGGAUAACCUACCUAUAAGACUGGGAUAACUUCGGGAAACCGGAGCUAAUACCGGAUAAUAUAUUGAACCGCAUGGUUCAAUAGUGAAAGACGGCUUUGCUGUCACUUAUAGAUGGAUCCGCGCCGCAUUAGCUAGUUGGUAAGGUAACGGCUUACCAAGGCAACGAUGCGUAGCCGACCUGAGAGGGUGAUCGGCCACACUGGAACUGAGACACGGUCCAGACUCCUACGGGAGGCAGCAGUAGGGAAUCUUCCGCAAUGGGCGAAAGCCUGACGGAGCAACGCCGCGUGAGUGAUGAAGGUCUUCGGAUCGUAAAACUCUGUUAUUAGGGAAGAACAAAUGUGUAAGUAACUAUGCACGUCUUGACGGUACCUAAUCAGAAAGCCACGGCUAACUACGUG
This 497-nucleotide ribosomal RNA is filed under the name uncultured bacterium. RNAcentral's name for it is "partial 16S ribosomal RNA". It matches the Rfam family "Bacterial small subunit ribosomal RNA", at positions 28 to 507 of the family's 1533-position model. The record is from RNAcentral.